GCCUGCUUCUCCUCCAACGCCUCCGCCGCGGCCAUCGGUCUCGAGUCGGCGGCGAAGCGUCACGACUUCGGGUCGAGCGUGGACCGCUGUCUCGCUUAAAUGCGGAGGGAGUUGCAGCCGGAAGUUACGAGCGGGGGGCUUCAUCACUUGGGAUGGGUGCAGGUGACAUGUGGAUUUUGCAGCAGCAUGGGGACAAUGCUGCAGCUUUUCAAAUAAAGCUCAUAGACUGCUGCAACACCAAAGCAGUUGUUCUGCACAAAAUAAUAAUAAUAAUAAUAAUAAUAAUAAUAAUUAGAUAGAAUAUAAAUAAUUUCUUUAAAGAAAUAAGUUUAACUUAAUUUUGGUCUGCGUAGUUGGGGUGGUGACAGCGAAGCAAGUGGGUACGAGUACAAGAGGACACGUGUGUGGCAGAGGCAUUUAGUCAAUGGUGGGCCCUGGGGGUCUUCAUCCCUGAGUCGUACAUGGCGCUGCGUCCUCUGCAUCUGGGUCUGAGUUAAAGGAGGGCCAUAAAGAUGCUGCCACAUGUACUUUCUCAGUUACACCACAUUUUACUGUCCCCUCUUUUACCUGCUAAAAAUGUACCACGUGGAGUUGGCUUUGAUAAUCUAAUCUUACUUUUCUUGCAAUUAAAAUAUUUAAAACUAAAAUAAUAUAUCAUUCUUUAUUUUUAAAUAUUAUGUUUAUUGAAAUUUAGAAAUCAAUCCUCCUUUUCUUGUGGAGAAUGAUGAUGGUAAUGAGAUGGCUUAUGUUAAUGAAAAGAAAAAAAAUCGGGGAUGUUUAGAAAAUAUUAUUUAUGUUUGUAUGUAUAUUUUUUUUUUAUUUUUAGCUAGUAUUUAAAAAUCAUUUAUCAUAUAAAUAAUUGUCAAUUCCACUCUGAACCUUAGUAGGCCAAUUGGGCUAAACAGGUCCACUGGGCCACCGUAAGCCUGUAAACUCCUUGGUAGCAUCAUAUACCGUUGCCCCCCCCCCCAAACCAACCCCGCUUUUGGGAAUCUACUACUCUUCGUUCCGUUGUGUUCCCCAUUCCCGAAACCCUAACCCGAAGGUAGCGGCGGCGCGAUGACGAGGGGAUGCUGGGCAAGGGGAUGCUGCCCCCUUGAUUGACGUCACCCAAUUUGGGUACUUCAAGGUGCUGGGCAAGGGGAUGCUGCCCCCGGAUUGCCCCGUUGUCGUCAAGGCCAAGUUGGUGUCGAAGAUCGCCGAGAAGAAGAUCAAGGCCGCCGGUGGCGCUGUCGUGCUCACUGCUUGACUCACGGAUCAAUUUGGAUUUGCUGAGGUGGAGAGUUAAUGUUUGUGUUCUAUCUUAUCUGCAAUUGCAAUUGCUGAUAGUAUAGUUGAGUUUGUAGACUUUGAAGAUUAUAUCCAUUUUAUCUGAAUGAAGAAUGUUUGUGUAA
Long non-coding RNA from Musa acuminata AAA Group (dessert banana), 1394 nucleotides. RefSeq lists it as uncharacterized. NCBI's taxonomy places the organism in Eukaryota, Viridiplantae, Streptophyta, Magnoliopsida, Zingiberales, Musaceae. The record is from RefSeq and is a predicted model, not a curated record. The transcript is spliced from 3 exons.